Molecule: ribosomal RNA, 90 nt
Filed under: Microtus ochrogaster (prairie vole)
Lineage: Eukaryota; Metazoa; Chordata; Mammalia; Rodentia; Cricetidae
Source: RNAcentral
GCCGAACCACCUUGAAAGCACCUGAUCCCAUUGAAUCUCAGAAGCUAAGCAAGGUUGGUCCCUGUUAUUAUCUGGAUGGGAGAAACGGCU